This 844-nucleotide long non-coding RNA is filed under the name Oryza brachyantha (malo sina). Its description in RNAcentral is "long non-coding RNA (OBRA_LNC002752)". Lineage: Eukaryota; Viridiplantae; Streptophyta; Magnoliopsida; Poales; Poaceae. The record is from RNAcentral.
UAGGGUUAUGCAAGUGUAUAAUAGAACUGUUUUGAACAGGUACUCACAGUAUUCGUGAUAACUGAGCUAGAUAGGUAUUGUAAAACCAAUGGGUUAUGGGUGAAUCAUUUGCUGGAUCUGCAUGCACACAGACAAAUACAUGACGACUUAAUUUGUUCCUAAAAGUAAGUGGAAGAGAAAAAUAAAGAAUGAAUAGUCCACAUCAUUCACAUUAACACGGGCAACUAUAAAGCUAUAAAGGUCAUUGCAUGAAUCACAAACCCCACCAAAUCCCAAACUAAUCAAACCUUUCAGUUGGCUCUCUAAUGCAGUCCAUGAACAAACAAACUCGAGAGCAUUCAGCUGAAACAACAAACACAGCAGACACAGUCUUACUGAACAAUGAAAAGGAAAGCCAAUUGAGAACAGUUUGUUGCAAGGAAAUUUGCAUCAGGUGCUGAACAACCGUAGUACACAGGUGGAGCUCGUGGGUAACCUGGCGCAUGAAGGCGUAAACUGUAAGGAUCAUCUGCAAAAUUUGACAAGUUUGCAGAUAUCCUCUCCUUAGACUCUGCAACAAGAAGAGAACAGUGAACUUCCAUAACCUGUGAAAAAAAAAAUACAGAUACAGUAACACAAAAAUCUUGACGAGCCGAGAUCGAGGGGUAGGAGGAGCAGGGAACGAAGAAGAGAACUAAUCGAAACGGCCCACCUAAUUCUUGGCCCAGCAACUCUCCAGGGAGAUCGUGGGCCGACCCCGCACCGGCAUACCCCCCGGCGGCGCAUCGCCGCCGGCGUCAUGGAGCCAUGGAGGUGCAGUGCUAAUGAUGAUCAUCAGGAAGAAAGCAAGUAAUUUGAGGUUGAG